Molecule: ribosomal RNA, 468 nt
Filed under: uncultured bacterium
Lineage: Bacteria
Description: partial 16S ribosomal RNA
Rfam family: Bacterial small subunit ribosomal RNA
Source: RNAcentral
GACGAACGCUGGCGGCGUGCUUAACACAUGCCAGUCGAACGGAAAGGCCCUGCUUUUGUGGGGUGCUCGAGUGGCGAACGGGUGAGUAACACGCGUGUAACCUGCCCUUGACUUUGGGAUAACUUCAGGAAACUGGGGCUAAUACCGGAUAGGAGCUCCUGCUGCAUGGUGGGGGUUGGAAAGUUUCGGCGGUUGGGGAUGGACUCGCGGCUUAUCAGCUUGUUGGUGAGGUAGUGGCUUACCAAGGCUUUGACGGGUAGCCGGCCUGGGAGGGUGACCGGGCACAAUGGGACUACGAUACGGCGCAGACUGGUACGUGAGGCAGCAGUGGAGAAUAUUGCACAGUGGGCGGACGCCAGAUACAGCAACGCCGCGUGCGUGAUGACGGGCUACGGGUUGUAAACCGCUUUCGACUGAGACGAAGCGUGAGUGACGGUAAUGGGUAAAGAAGCACCGGCUAACUACGUG